GCCCAGUCAGUCCUACUAAUCCAUUCCGUGUCACUCUCCUCAGAUCAGCACCAGCUUCCCCUUCCACCACCAUCACCCAGCCACUGACACCUCCGUCGCCGCCGUCCGCCGUCCGCCAUGGGCUCCUCCCACCGCCACCUCCUCCGCCUCCUCGACGACCCCUUCUUCCCCUUCCCCCCGCCACCACCAUCCUCCUCCUCCUCCUGCCCCUUCCUCCCUUCCCCAUUCGCCUUCCCCCACCACGACCUCGACACCCUCGACCUCGACCUCUUCCUCCCGCCCCACCACACCGUCGACCCCUUCUUCUCCCCCUUGCCCUCGCCCCACGCCUCCCUCCUGCACGACCUCACCGACCGCGUCGCCGCCCUCGAGCUCGCUGCCCUCGCCGCCCGCGCGCCGCAGCCCGCGCGCCGCAAGUACACCUACGCCGCCACCUCCCCGGGCGGCCGCAAGGUCAAGUGGACCGCCGAGGAGAAGCCGCGCACCGGCCACCGCGCGCUCAAGUGGGAGGCCGAGCUCGCCUCCCCCAACGACGACGGCUUCGACCGCAAGUGGCGGUGGGAGACCAAGUCCAAGGCCGCCGGGAAGGCCAAGACCAAGUGGGGCGCCGAGAUCAAGGGCAAAGGAUGUCUCCAGCCUUGGUCACAUGCGUACUCCUGGGAGGAGGACUUCAGCGGGUCAGACGACGAGGAGGAGGAUGAGCUGGAGCGCAAUCCGGAGAGGAAGAAGAAGGAGAUCAAGGGGCCCGCCGCCAAGGAGGACAAGAAGGACAAGAAGAAGACGACCAAAUGCGUCCGGAUCGAGGAGAUCCCCGAGGACAACACCGCCGGAUGCGACGCCAUCAGGAAGGCUUUUGCUAUGGGCAAUGAUAAGGGCAAGGCCAAGGAGCUGUCGCCGCAGGACGCCGCGCUGCUCAUCCAGAUGAACUACAGGGCGCACCUCGCCCACCGCUCCCAGGUGCUGCGCUGCCUGCGCGACCUCGCCGUCGCCAAGGCCAAGCUCAAGGAGCUCAGGUCCUUGUUCUAUAACCUCAAUUACAGGCGCCGCUGCAGCCAUGACCACGAGGAGCGCCAGAGGUUCUCUGAGAAGAUUAUUGUCCUGCUCCUCACUGUAGAUGCUCUUGAGGGACCUGACUUCAUGGUGAGGACGGCAAAGAAAUCUAUGCUGGAGGAACUCGAGGGGAUGCUGGAGAUUGUGGACCCACAGCCACCCGGUAAGGAGAGAUCGUUUAGCCGCCGAAAGUUUGAUCUUCCACAGGGUGGAGCGAUCCCGAACGAGAAGUCGGCUGCCGUGAACAACACAGUCAAAGUCAUCAACACGGGCAAGGGCAAGUAAUGUGGACCACUAGGUCCACCAUGCACAUCGUUGUCGCUGGGUACCACAGCCGAUCGAUGGAGCUUGUAGUGCCGUGCCUCGUGAGAAGUACGAUCUCCUUGUUAUUUUCUAGUAUCUCUGAGAAGUAUUGGACUUGUUGUGAACCAUUGUUGUGGUUGUUGUCGUCGCACUUGUAGCAUGUAUGAUCUGUGUCCUUUGCUUUGGACUUCUUGUAUGCUGUUGUUUGAACUGCAAGUAGAUGAAUUUGUGGUGCUUUAUCAGGUUUUCUGCUGGCUGCUGCCCUCA
This is a non-coding RNA of Lolium perenne, 1620 nucleotides long. The record is from RefSeq and is a predicted model, not a curated record. NCBI's taxonomy places the organism in Eukaryota, Viridiplantae, Streptophyta, Magnoliopsida, Poales, Poaceae.